ACUUCCGGCUUCCGUGCCUGAACCUUUCUUAAGCCUUCAGCUUUGGAGAAGUCCGGUGGUGUUAUCGGCCGGUUUUCGGCGAAAUUCUAAUCGGUUUCACACCCAACUUAGCUAGGCCCGGCCUCUGUAACUGCCUGGCAUCGAUCUCGCCCUCCACCGCUCAGCGACCCAGGUGAAGGCCUCAGGACUGCACUCUGCAUGAGACAACAGCUCAGAUUUGGUCAAGAUCUCAAAGUAGGAAAUUGGAACCCACUUACAGCUGACUAAAUUAAUACAGCAUUUGUAGCCACUUAUAUAAUAAUGAUAAAAGCUUUAUUUCUUACUUUGCUGUAUGGAGUGGAUAAACUCACCAAGGUACUAAGGCAGUGCAUGACAGGUCCUUAAAGAAUAUACACAUGGCAGGAAGGACCGGAAAAGGAGACAUAAAUGGGUAGCAGAGAAGCAGAAAAGCUAAAAUCUCCAAAGUAAAAUUAACGUAAAAGCAAAAAUUAAUGAAAUAGAAAAUAAAAUUGAUCAAAAUAAUAGCUGAUGUUUGAAGAACGAUAAAAUACAGACACUCAAAAUCAGGAAAAAUAGAGGAGAAAAUAUUGGAAACAAAGGGAACUUGUUACAGAUAUGAUGGAGACUUUGAAAAUCAGAAUAAAAUUAUUAUGUAUAGCCUUAAGCAGAUAAUUUUGAUAAUUGACUUAGACAAUUUUCUAAUAUAAAUUUCAAAAAAUUGGCACAAAAGUUAGAAAACCUUAACAAGGUAAUAAUCGUAAAAGAAUCUGUCCCCCGCAAAAGUCACUAGGAACAAAGCAUAGAUAAGAAUGGAGUGCUUCCCAACCAUGAAGCCAGCAUAACCCUAACUGAAUCUAAACAAGGGUAGUGAAAAAGACAAAAAGCCUAUAGCUGUCUCAUGAUUAUACAUGUAAAUAUCUUAAAGUAAAAUAUGAAUGAAGCCAGCAGUGCAUUAAGAUAAUAAUAUGUCAUGCUAAAUUUGGUUUACCUACCAAUACAGGAUAGAUCAACAUUAGACAAUACAGUAAUGAAAAUUUGCUACAUUAACAAAUAAAGGAGAAAAACUAUAUGAUCUUAGCUGAUGCUGAAAAAUUAGCAUCUAUUACUGAUUCAAAAAGAAGGAAAAAAGCUCAUCUUAAGCAAGUAAUGAACAGAAUCUUUCUUAACUGGAUGAAGAAUAUCAACUAGAAAUGAACAGUGUACUUAAUGUCAUAAUCCAAGGUAUUCUUUCAUUCCUACAAUUCAGAAUUAUGGACCCCGUGUAAUAAGGUAAAUGAGGUAUGAAAUUGGAAAGGAAGAAGUUAGACAAAUGACAGCAUUGUUUACCUGGAUAAGCCUAACAACUGUAAAAUAUUAAAAUUAUAACUAAUAGUUUGGUAAGAUGGUAAGCUUUCAGAGCGACAUCCAGAAUUAAGAUUUCCUAUAAACUAGAAAUAAUCAUCAAAUGUAAAGGAGGAAAGAUCUCAUGAAAGAUCUUAUUAACAUUAGCAGCAAACAGAAUGAAAUAUUCUAGGACUAAACCUAUCAAGAAAUGAUGAAAACCCAAAUGAAAGAUAAAACUUUAUUGGUAGACAUUACAGAAGAGCUGAAUAAAUGGAAAGACGGUAUGUCCCUACAGGAGUACACUUUGUAUUUUAAAGAUAAUGAUUCUCAAAGUAUAAAUUUGUUGCAUUUCUAAUGAAAAUUUCAAAUGAAUUUUUAGUGGAAAUUAUAAGAUGAUUUUAAAGUUCUAAAUAGUAAGUGUACAGGAUUAACCAAAAUGUUUUUGGAAAGAAUUAAUGAGGGUGAACUUACUCAAGUAAGUAUCGGAACUAUAAAGCUAGCAUAUUUAAAACAGGGUGGUAUAGGAGCAGGAUUAGACAAAUAGAUUAGUGGAACAGACUAGAAUCCAGAAUAGCCUCAUGUAUAUGUUUAUGAUAGAGGUGGCAUUUCAAAUAGGUGGGAAAGAAAAUGAUAGGCUCUUCGAUAUUUUCAUAUACAAAAAUUCAUUUCAAAAGAAAGAUUAACAUAAGGUACUAGGAAAAAAAAUUCAAAAAAUUUGUUUCGUAAUCUUAGGAAAGCCUUCCUAAGCAAAAGAAGUACCAGAGGCCAGAGAGAGAAAUUUAUGUAAAACUAUAUAAAUAUGUAAAAGAUUACAGGAUACAUCGCUGAAAAGUUGAGACAAGAAGUAUACUGGAAGAGAAUAAAUACAAUGUGUAUGGUAUAAAUGAUUCAUAUAUAUAUUAUGUAGAAAAAAAUUAGAAAGGGUAACAAUAGAAAAAAGUGAGCAAAGGAUAUAAAUACAUCAAGAACAAAUUAACAAAGGAAAGGAUGCGCAAUCUCACGAGUAUUUUUUUAAAAAAAAACUAAACCCAUUGCUGUUGAGUCAAUUCUGACUCAUGGUGACCCUAUAGGACAGAUUAGAACUGCCCCCAUAGAGUUUCCAAGGAGCUCCUGAUGGAUUUGAACUGCCAGCCUUUUGGUUAGCAACUGUAGCUCUUAACCAGUGCGUAUUUAGAGAAACCUAAAGCUGUGAAAGACUGCUGUUUACCCAUCACGGUGGUAAAAACUAAAAGAUUAUGGCUAAUGACUGUCAGAAGGGAAUAGAUAAACAGUCACUUUGAUGACGCUGCUGGUGAAAGAUAACUAGUGUGACCCGUGAAGGGCAAUUUGACAGUGUCAGAUUUUAAAUUUAUAUUACCCUUGAGCGAGCAACUACCCAGUUCUAAAAUCUUCCAAAUAACUUGCUCAGAUGUUUGUACUUAGUCAUUACAGCACUUUGGAGAAAAACUUGAAUAUCCAUCAUAAAAGAAUGGCUAAGUUAUGCUACAUUCAUAAUAUGAAAUAUUACACAGUGGUAAAAAUGCACUAAUUAACAUGGAAAUAGUAGUAAAAUAGAGUAAAUGAAAAAAAUGCCAAACAAUACAUAGAUGGUCACUUUUUUUUUUAAUUUUUAAAUUUUGUAAUUCUUUGUAAGAAAAGUAAAGUGUGCACUGUCACGGAAAGUAAAAGAAGAUAGUUUUUAGGAGUAUCUGGGCCAGGAGAGAUUUAAGAGGCUAAGAAAAGCACAUUGGUUUUGGAGAAUAGGAAAUAGUGAAGUAAUCAAGAGGCAAAAACCACUUGCACAGGAUUUCAGGGUAAGCGAAUGACUGACUAUGAAGGAAGUUUCCCACUUGAAACAAGGUUCAGAACACAUUGGUGGCAUUCUUCACGCUGAAGUGGGCAUUUCAGCAUUCCUGAGAAUCAGAACCCUUUGUAAGUAGAAGUCUUAAGGUUCCAAUUAGUAAAAGUAGCUAAAGUCCACCUCUAUCUCAGUUUUUCCAAAUUUGAUAAAGCAGGCUGUCCCUGUAGUCAGCUCUUGGAAUCUAGUUCCAGAGGAGAGAGCAGGAAUAACCGCAGGCCAAAAAUGGAAUUGAGUUUUGGUAACCAUCUCUACUCUUUUCUGCCCAUGUAUCCUCUUGCUUCCCAAACAUUCUUACUCUCCCUUGGGUGUCCAUCCCCAUGGGUGCUUCUUGACUCAGCUCACUUUUCCCUACCUGUCCAACAAAGUGCCUGUUAUCUCAUGUUGCUGACUCCAUAUACGAUUAUGAGAAACUUCCCACUCCUACGGUUGAAGUUCAGGCCUUUCUUGUCUUCACAAUAGCCUGGUAUUUCCGUUUCUGUCUCCAGUUUACCUCCCCUUUUUCUGUUGCUGUAGAGUCAAUUCCAACUCAGGGCAACCCUGGGUGGUUGGAGGUUGAGUCUACCCAAGGCACCUUGGAAGAAAAGCCUGGCAUUCUUCCAAAAAAAAACCAGCCAUGGAAAACCUUAUGGAGCACAGUUCUACUCUGAUACACGUGGGAGUCUCCACCUUCCUUUUAAUCUUAACCUUCAUUCUGUAAACCUUACUUUCCACUCGCAGGCAUGGUUACAUGCCUCUUUAGAUCUCCUUGAAUGUUUUUUAUAAAUCUCUCUUAGAGCACUUAUUAGGUGCUGAAUAGGCUAUAGAGAAAGCCAGGCAGGAAAACAGAUAACUAGAAUAUUGUUGUUAGUUGCUGUCGAAUUGAUUCCGACUCAUGGAGACCCCAUGUGUUACCGAGUACAACUGCUCCAUAGGGUUUUCUUGGCUGUAAUCUUUACCGGGCCUUACUUCCACAGUAUCGCUGGGUGGGAUUGAACCACCAACCUUUAGGUUAGCAGUUGAGUGCAAAAUGUUUGCACCACCCAGGGACCUACCUAGAAUAUAGAAUUUUCUGUUUUAGAUAAAGCUGUUAAAAUGAGAAUUUUAAAUACAUAAUUAGGUCCUUUUCUCAAAGCUUUUUUUUAAAAAACUUUAGCUGAAUUACAGUGUAAUUGCUUUGUAGUAUUUUCUAAAACAGUGUGAAGUUUUAAGUAAGAAUAUUGGGUUAACAUCAGCAUUCUAAGGAAAGUAAAAACUCAAUGAAAUCGUUAGAUUUUAGGAAAUGCAUCACAAACUUCAAGUCUUAAUUCAAAAGACAGCGUUCAGUCUUCCCUGAGACUCCACCUUUUCUUGCUGCCCUUUCCAGCACAGAUUACUAGUUCUAGCUCCCCAGUGCUAUGUGUUGACUACUACUUUUUCAUCCUCCUUAGGCUAAAACCCAGUGUUCCUGAUUUCUGAAUUAGUUACCAAGGCUUAGUAUUCUUCAGAAUAAAUUGUGGAGCUUCUUAAAAUGUUAGAGGUUCACUUCAGACCUGAAAACACCUGAAUAAAAAUCUACUAGGUGAGGAAUCUCUGUUCUUAACAUUCACUAUAAAUGAUUCUAAUGUAUAGCCAAAUUUGGGAACCACAAAUCUAGAUCACUACCCACAUCUAGCAUCCCAUCUCAAAGAGAAAAUCGAAAUAGAACUCUCAAUCCCCCUCCCAUUCCAACUGUAAAUACCUGUAACCAUCUCAGAAAAAGCACUCUCCUCCAUUCCAAGGUUAAUUCCUCUUGUGCUUUUGAUGCCAUCUUUUUCCAGCUCUGAGGCCUCCUUUCUCUACACUGAGCUCCUUUUAACAUAUAUGCUAAUGCCGUUUCUAUUUGUCUCAUUCUGUCUACAAUUUAAUCUCUGCAGUGGAAUGUCAUAAAAGAGCAGCUUACUAUAUUUCAUUAUCUCACCCACAUAAAUCAUUGCAACUGGCAUUGGCACCCACUCAGCUUAAAACUUCUCAGGCCAACAGUGGUAUUUCUCAGUCUUUUUUUUUAAGGGAGUUGGUUAUUUUCUAUUAUAUGCUUAAGGGAAUCAUUCAGUACCAUAUUUUGUUUACUACUCACAAUUUCAAUUUUUUUUCCCUUUACUGGUUUUCCAGUAGUGUUUUUCAUGCUUCAAUAAUGCUUCUUUCUCUCCUUCCCACCCACUAAUCUGUUUGUUCCCUAAGACUUGUCUUUAGCCAUCUUCUCCCUAUGUACACAUACUCUUGGGACAUUUUUAGGUUUGAAUAUCGCCUUUUUUUGAAUGUCACAUACUUUUAAGCAUUUGGUAAGAGGUGUGGAUUAUCUUCCCAGAAAAAUGCGUGACAGGAAAUUUUGCCUACAUUUUUGGAUUCACAGACCCCAGUAUUUUUCCAUAGACAGUGUUCAUCUGUAUUUGUAAGUUCAGCUGUGACGUAGUGUAUUUUUUACUCCCAAAUCCCAUGGACAUUUACCAGUUUUCUUACUGGGCCUCUCUGUAGCAUCUGAUAAUCUCUUUAAAAUUUUAUCCACUUGAUCCUUACAAAAAACCUCUUAGAUGCAGAUGUCAGUCACUUCUGUUUAAAAUUUCUAGUGACUGCCAUGGUCAUCAGGGAAAUGCAAACUUAGCAUGACCAAGAAGGCUCUUCAUAAUAUUUUACUCAAAAUCACUGGGUUUUGUCCAUAUAAAAAUUAAUUUUUGAAAACGUGUUUUCAAGCCUUUGUAUUUGCUGUUCAUUCUCCCUAGAUAUCUGUCCUGCAAAUAUAGACGCCACUCCUAUAGUUAUCCUCCAAAAUCAAAUAUCACCACCUCUAAAAUUAACCCAUCUCCAGGUAGUCUGUAUACCUGUUUCUGUCCUAGCAUUCAUCUUAGAAUAUCUUUUUUUUUUUUUUUUUUCCUAUUAUGGCAGAAAUAGUGUUGAAUAAGAUGAG
This is a long non-coding RNA of Trichechus manatus latirostris (Florida manatee), 6062 nucleotides long. RefSeq lists it as uncharacterized. The transcript is spliced from 2 exons. The record is from RefSeq and is a predicted model, not a curated record. Lineage: Eukaryota; Metazoa; Chordata; Mammalia; Sirenia; Trichechidae.